RNAcentral lists this transfer RNA (66 nucleotides) under Chrysomeloidea sp. 4 KM-2017. RNAcentral's name for it is "tRNA-Ala". It matches the Rfam family "tRNA". From Rfam's summary of the family: Transfer RNA (tRNA) molecules are approximately 80 nucleotides in length. The record is from RNAcentral. Lineage: Eukaryota; Metazoa; Arthropoda; Insecta; Coleoptera.
AGGAUAAUAGUUAAAUAUAACAUUUAAUUUGCACUUAAAAAGUAUUGAAUACUUCAAUUUAUCUUA